GAUGAACGCUGGCGGCGUGCCUAACACAUGCAAGCCGAACGAAGCAUUUUAAAGGAAGUUUUCGGAUGGAAUUUAAGAUGACUGAGUGGCGGACGGGUGAGUAACGCGUGGAUAACCUGCCCCACACUGGGGGAUAACAGUUAGAAAUGACUGCUAAUACCGCAUAAGCGCACAGUGCUGCAUAGUACAGUGUGAAAAACUCCGGUGGUGUGGGAUGGAUCCGCGUCUGAUUAGUUAGUUGGCGGGGUAACGGCCCACCAAGACGACGAUCAGUAGCCGACCUGAGAGGGUGACCGGCCACAUUGGGACUGAGACACGGCCCAAACUCCUACGGGAGGCAGCAGUGGGGAAUAUUGCACAAUGGGGGAAACCCUGAUGCAGCGACGCCGCGUGAGUGAAGAAGUAUUUCGGUAUGUAAAGCUCUAUCAGCAGGGAAGAAGAUGACGGUACCUGACUAAGAAGCCCCGGCUAACUACGUGCCAGCAGCCGCGGUAAUACGUAGGGGGCAAGCGUUAUCCGGAUUUACUGGGUGUAAAGGGAGCGUAGACGGCGGAGCAAGUCUGAAGUGAAAGCCCGGGGCUCAACCCCGGGACUGCUUUGGAAACUGCUCUGCUAGAG
RNAcentral lists this ribosomal RNA (618 nucleotides) under uncultured bacterium. Its description in RNAcentral is "bacterial SSU rRNA". It matches the Rfam family "Bacterial small subunit ribosomal RNA", at positions 28 to 646 of the family's 1533-position model. The record is from RNAcentral.